RNAcentral lists this long non-coding RNA (222 nucleotides) under Hordeum vulgare. Its description in RNAcentral is "long non-coding RNA (HVUL_LNC013253)". The record is from RNAcentral. Lineage: Eukaryota; Viridiplantae; Streptophyta; Magnoliopsida; Poales; Poaceae.
CUCAAACGUAUCGACUUUUCCAAACACUUUUGCUAAUGUUUUGGUCUCAUUCUUGCAUGAUUUCAAUGAAACUAACCCGGACUAACGCUAUUUUCAGCAAAGCUGUUUGUAUGGUUUUCUUGUGCGCAGGAAAAUGGAUAUUUAGACGUCCUGGAAAAUUCCCAUAAAAAUAGAGAAAAUCCACGCACCGGGAGGAACCAUGGGCCAGAAGAUGGGUCAGAG